AGAGUUUGAUCCUGGCUCAGGAUGAACGCUGGCGGCGUGCCUAACACAUGCAAGUCGAACGGAAAUUGCUGAAGGAAGUUUUCGGAUGGAAUUCAGUAAUUUUAGUGGCGGACGGGUGAGUAACACGUGGGUAACCUGCCUUGUACUGGGGGAUAACAGUUGGAAACGGCUGUUAAUACCGCAUAAGCGCACAGCUUCGCAUGAAGCAGUGUGAAAAACUCCGGUGGUACAAGAUGGACCCGCGUCUGAUUAGCUAGUUGGUGAGGUAACGGCCCACCAAGGCGACGAUCAGUAGCCGGCCUGAGAGGGUGAACGGCCACAUUGGGACUGAGACACGGCCCAGACUCCUACGGGAGGCAGCAGUGGGGAAUAUUGCACAAUGGAGGAAAACUCUGAUGCAGCGACGCCGCGUGAGCGAUGUA
Molecule: ribosomal RNA, 422 nt
Filed under: uncultured bacterium
Lineage: Bacteria
Description: bacterial SSU rRNA
Rfam family: Bacterial small subunit ribosomal RNA
Source: RNAcentral